RNAcentral lists this ribosomal RNA (673 nucleotides) under Rhizophagus intraradices. RNAcentral's name for it is "SSU rRNA". It matches the Rfam family "Eukaryotic small subunit ribosomal RNA", at positions 377 to 1054 of the family's 1831-position model. The record is from RNAcentral. Lineage: Eukaryota; Fungi; Glomeromycota; Glomeromycetes; Glomerales; Glomeraceae.
ACGACACCGGAGAGGGAGCCUGAGAAACGGCUACCACAUCCAAGGAUGGCAGCAGGCGCGCAAAUUACCCAAUCCCGACACGGGGAGGUAGUGACAAUAAAUAACAAUACGGGGUUCUUUAGGAUCUCGUAAUUGGAAUGAGUACAAUUUAAAUCUCUUAACGAGGAACAAUUGGAGGGCAAGUCUGGUGCCAGCAGCCGCGGUAAUUCCAGCUCCAAUAGCGUAUAUUAAAGUUGUUGCAGUUAAAAAGCUCGUAGUUGAAUUUCGGGGUUAGUAGGUUGGUCAUGCCUCCGGUAUGUACUGAUCUCACUGAUUCCUCCUUCCUUAUGAACCGUAAUGCCAUUAAUUUGGUGUUGCGGGGAAUUUGGACUGUUACUUUGAAAAAAUUAGAGUGUUUAAAGCAGGCUAACGCUUGAAUACAUUAGCAUGGAAUAAUGAAAUAGGACGUUCGAUCUUAUUUUGUUGGUUUCUAGGAUUGACGUAAUGAUUAAUAGGGAUAGUUGGGGGCAUUAGUAUUCAAUUGUCAGAGGUGAAAUUCUUGGAUUUAUUGAAGACUAACUACUGCGAAAGCAUUUGCCAAGGAUGUUUUCAUUAAUCAAGAACGAAAGUUAGGGGAUCGAAGACGAUCAGAUACCGUCGUAGUCUUAACCAUAAACUAUGCCGACUAGGGAUC